GUAUUGUGAGACCGCCCAUUGAAUGUUGAAAUCCAAAUUCUUCCUCAGCUUUCUGAAGCAAUUCCUGGAACGAACUGUGAUUCAGGUAUGCAAUUGGAACUACGUAUCGUUUCUUCUCUGUUUCUCCGACGUAAACUGCUAAAUGUCCUUUUGGUACAUCUGAUAUUUGAUUCCGAGUAACAACAGAGUGUAGUUUGUGAAAUUGCUUCAAACUGGGAAUAAUUGACGGUAAACGAAUAAUACCCAUCACUAGAUCUUUGAUUUUGAAGAUAAGUUUUGGUAUUUGAUGGAUUGGAACUUGUUGAGAGGAAUAAUUUUAUGCACUGAAGGUGUUUGAUGAUUUGACUGACUUGUUCUAGUCUAUAUUUAUAGUGGCUGCUUGCAAAUUGCAAUAUGUUGCGUGCCACGGCAGGUCAAUUGGUUCCAUGUGAGAGAGGCCCUACUUCACAUGCUUCGUAUUCUUACUUGAUAUAAGUAGGUAGUGCGGUAUGGGUUGUAAUAGUUCCAAUGCGUGUUGCAUCGUAAAUAGGUGUUCUUAUAAUGGAAAAAUAUACGUAUAAGAUUUUAAUGUACGGAGCGCGUGCAAGGUUCUGGAAGUUGCGCAAAGACUAGAGUAAAGAGCUAAGACUGUAGUACACACUAACUAAUAGAGGUGCCAAAAUGAGCGGACUUUUGUCAAAUGAGUUAGAUCAAUUAAUGAGUUAAAUAAAGGUUAUAAUUCAACAUGAACUAACCUUUUGUAUAGUGAUAGCAAAUGUAAUUUUUAUAAAAAUACUAGUUUUAAUUUCGUAUAUUUGGAUUGCACCUUGACUGAUCACGUUGUACUAUUUUGAGUCUUUUGACACCUUAAUUUGAUAAGUUAUUUCGAAUAUUCUGUUGAGAUAAAUAGGUCAUUACUCAACGCGUUUAAACUUAGAUAGAUUGAGCGGAUUAUAUUUUGACACCUCUUAAGUUUUGGCCAAACUAAUUAGUUAGGACUUUGAACUAAUUAGUUGCCAAUUUUAGGGAGAACAAUGGUCCUUUUGGAACAUGAAUACAAUUACUUGAAGAGUUUGUUCUACUCUACCAUCCACUCGUUUUUAUCUAUUCCUGAAUUUUGGUGAUGACGGAUGGCCAUAAGAAGGUUAUAUCUAUACCACUAUUCUCCCAUUGUUUCCACUUUAGACAUGUAUAUGUUUAUCCAUAUAUAUAUUAUUGUUUGUGCCAAAAAUAAAAAUAGUAUCACAACAUGGGCACUUUGGCCAUGCUGCCUUCUUGUGAUCUUGUGGUUGGUGAUUGGUGAAUUAAGUUAAGAGUCCUUAGAAGUACGUGUCUAAACAUAAUAUUUGGUGCAAAUUCCAACCUCUAAAUUCAUUGGCUUACAAGCUUUUUUUACAUGGAAGUAACUGCCCACAUUCAUGUGAUUUGGUAAUGCUUAAGCCAUUAUUUCCACUUGUGCUAAUUAUUAUCGGUGUUGAAUUCUCUAAUUAGUUUUCCAACUAGUGGCAAAUGGCAACUUGAAUGAAAAUAGUAGUAUUUCUAUGAGCAGUAACUUUACUCCGUUAUUUAAAUGAUAAAAUGUAUAAGUACUUAAAUUUUUACUCCGUAGGAUACGUGAAAAUAUAUAUUUUGAGUGUGAGACUCGAACUCAAAAUUUCUAUAUGCUUUUAUAUCAUAUUGAAUGGUCUAAUAACUUAUAAGUAUAUAUUAGGUUCUGAACAAGAAAGGAAAUAUCUUGACCACUACUUCAAUAUAGAAGUGCUUUGACAUCUUCUAUACUAAAUUUGUGACCCAAAUCUAGACAAUUGAACAAGCUCACUAUACUGAACUUUUGAACUUUAAUCUUUUGUGCAAAACUAAUUUCUGUCCACAAUUUAUGCUUGAUGGUCAACAAAAACAUUUGCCUAGUGAAUUUUCCGAAACAAGGAUAUAUUUUCUUUUAAAAAUUAAGUGGGGUCAAAAAAAUCAAGGCCACCUCUUUUAGGGUGAUUUGUGAACUAAACCCCAAAUUGGUUAGUAUAUUUAUUGUUCUUUAUGCUAAGUGUUUCUUCAUUUUUUGUUUUUUUUUUGGUUUCACAAACGGUGUUUGAAGCCCGUAUUGGAGUUUUGUGUAAAUCUGGAUCGUGCACUGUAGCUUCAACAUGAUUUUCUCCAUAUCCAGGCUGAAAAUCUCAUCACUACAUCACAAUCCAUGUUGGUACCAAGUAUUCCUUCUUGAUAAUGAAACAGAAUGGUUGCUAACUAGUUUAAGUUGACCUCACAGGCUGUUCUAAGAUUUCAAUUUAUUGAGGUUUAAGGUUUGAGGACAAUGAAGAAUGUUAAAAAAAUUGAUUGUAUAUUUUGCUUUCCAAUCCUCUGAACAAUAUUAACCAGAGGAAACUUUGAAGAUAUAAAAUUUACAGCUCUUGCGUGACAAGAGGAAAAAAAUAAUCAAAAUAAAAGAAAGAACACUUGUUCAUAUCAUAAACAAGUGUUCAAUCGAGAAGUGACAUGAAAAAAUGCAUCCUCAUUGCAAGGUAUUGUGAGACCCCCCAUUGAAUGUUGAAACCCAAAUUCUUCCUCUGCUUUCUGAAGCAAUUCCUGGAACGAAAUUUGAUUCAAGUAUGCAAUUGGAACCACGUAUCGCUUCUUGUUGUCUGUUUCUCCUACGUAAACCGCAAAAUGUCCUUUUGGUACAUUAUUUGAAAUUUGAUUCCUCAUAAGAACAGAGUGUAGUUUGUGGAAUUGCUUCACACUUGAAAUAAUGGAUGGCAAACGAAUAAUACCCAUAACUAGAUAGUGUUAUGACUGAAAACUGCUACUUGUUGUGAAGAAUAAUCCACUUUAAGGUGUUAGAUAAUUUGACUGACUUGUUCUGAAGUUUGUAAAUUUAAGGUUAAUAUUUAUAGUGAUCUGCUUGCAGGUCAGUUGUCCUUGUGGACUAUAUAAUUGAUGGCAUGUGAAAAAGGGCCUACUUCACAUGGUGAGUACAUUCCCAAUUCCCAAUUGAUCAGCAAUAUAGUAUUCUUUCCAAGUAUAGCAUAGUGAUGAGGGUGUCCAUAAAGUGGUAAUGUAUUUACCACUAUUCUCCCAUUGUUUCCACUUUGGACAAUACAAUAUACAUUAUCUCCCCCCCACCAAAUUGCAACUCCCAUGCUGCCUUAUUGUUGUUGAGGUUCUCCACGAAAGUGCAAGUCCUUACAAGUACAAGUAGUUUCUGAAGUCACUACGUAUAUAUUUCUAUAUUCCAUAGUUAUGAAGUCAUUAUUUAUCUCUGCUUUAUAUCAUUUCA
Molecule: long non-coding RNA, 3250 nt
Filed under: Solanum tuberosum (potato)
Lineage: Eukaryota; Viridiplantae; Streptophyta; Magnoliopsida; Solanales; Solanaceae
Description: long non-coding RNA (STUB_LNC002469)
Source: RNAcentral